Molecule: long non-coding RNA, 319 nt
Filed under: Malus domestica (apple)
Lineage: Eukaryota; Viridiplantae; Streptophyta; Magnoliopsida; Rosales; Rosaceae
Description: long non-coding RNA (MDOM_LNC010747)
Source: RNAcentral
AUAAAUAACAUUAAACAUAUUAAAAUUAUUCUAGGGAAUAAUUAUACAACUUAAUUACUUCAAAAAAUUAACAUGCAAGUAUAAAUUACAAUAAUAUAAAUAUAAGUUCGUAAACUUACCUUAAAUAUAGAAUCCUUUGUGUUGAACCUCUGGAAUAGAUUUGGAAUGACUCUGAAAGGGGUAAGGGAAGAAGAAGAAACGAAAAGGUGUAUUAAUUUUCGAAUGGUAAAAAAAUGUGUGAUGAUCUGAUACUCCACCUCUGAGAAUGUGAAAGAAUAACACAGUGGCACACGAUUUUGAAUGGUCUGAAAUUGUAAAA